This is a long non-coding RNA of Mustela erminea (ermine), 381 nucleotides long. RefSeq lists it as uncharacterized. The transcript is spliced from 3 exons. NCBI's taxonomy places the organism in Eukaryota, Metazoa, Chordata, Mammalia, Carnivora, Mustelidae. The record is from RefSeq and is a predicted model, not a curated record.
CAGAGUUCAGUUUCUUCCAGUUCCCGCUGUGGUUGAGAAUUCAGAAUUCCAUCAUCACCUAACUUCUUUUGAAGGGGCACAGAGGAGAGGCCAUGUGAGGGCACAGCGAGAAAAGGACCAUCGGCAAGCCAGGAAGAGAGGUCCACCAGAAACCAAUCCUGUCAGCACUUCCAGCCUCCAGAAUGAUGAAGCUGGAACAUGAGUCCUUCACAUCACUCAGGGAACUGGCAUAUUGUGUCCCCGUCGUGGGGAGUCGCAGUGUCUGUCGGCAUGAUCCAGGAAGUCCUUGGGGAAACUGCUUGCGUACCAUCCCUUACCUCAGUGUUACCAAGCCUCAGUUUCUCUUAGCACCUCUUACCAUCUGGAGCAGCCAGUUUUCCA